Molecule: ribosomal RNA, 274 nt
Filed under: uncultured bacterium
Lineage: Bacteria
Description: partial 16S ribosomal RNA
Rfam family: Bacterial small subunit ribosomal RNA
Source: RNAcentral
UACAGAGGGUGCAAGCGUUAAUCGGAUUUACUGGGCGUAAAGCGUGCGUAGGUGGCCAAUUAAGUCAAAUGUGAAAUCCCCGAGCUUAACUUGGGAAUUGCAUUCGAUACUGGUUGGCUAGAGUAUGGGAGAGGAUGGUAGAAUUCCAGGUGUAGCGGUGAAAUGCGUAGAGAUCUGGAGGAAUACCGAUGGCGAAGGCAGCCAUCUGGCCUAAUACUGACACUGAGGUACGAAAGCAUGGGGAGCAAACAGGAUUAGAUACCCUCGGUAGUCC